This 361-nucleotide ribosomal RNA is filed under the name uncultured Streptococcus sp. RNAcentral's name for it is "bacterial SSU rRNA". It matches the Rfam family "Bacterial small subunit ribosomal RNA", at positions 1021 to 1382 of the family's 1533-position model. The record is from RNAcentral. Lineage: Bacteria; Bacillati; Bacillota; Bacilli; Lactobacillales; Streptococcaceae.
CGGUACAUCGGUGAUAGGUGGUGCAUGGUUGUCGUCAGCUCGUGUCGUGAGAUGUUGGGUUAAGUCCCGCAACGAGCGCAACCCCUAUUGUUAGUUGCCAUCAUUCAGUUGGGCACUCUAGCGAGACUGCCGGUAAUAAACCGGAGGAAGGUGGGGAUGACGUCAAAUCAUCAUGCCCCUUAUGACCUGGGCUACACACGUGCUACAAUGGUUGGUACAACGAGUUGCGAGUCGGUGACGGCGAGCUAAUCUCUUAAAGCCCAAUCUCAGUUCGGAUUGUAGGCUGCAACUCGCCUACAUGAAGUCGGAAUCGCUAGUAAUCGCGGAUCAGCACGCCGCGGUGAAUACGUUCCCGGGCCUU